CAGGAACAACACUGCUGUGAAGAGCUGUGUGUGAGAAAACCACCCAGAAGGACAGGAGUAGAGAUAUUGCCGGGAAUGGAUGUAAUGACAAAGAUGACAUAAGUUGCAAGAGGAGUUACCUGACAGCAGUUAUUUUUGCAUGAAGCCCCACCUGAUGUGGCUGAUGGAACAGAGCACCCACAGACAAGUAGUAGCACUGAAUGUGGACUGGACACAUGUUGCCAUGUGAGAAAGGGUGCCGGAGAAGUGUGGUAUCAAGAGAAGAAAACAAACAGUGAGGAAGGAAGAGUAAAGGAAAAAGCUAUACAGGAGUACAAAGCAGAAAUAAAGCACUGAAGAGGAUAUGGUUACACUGAAAAAGAGAAGAGCAAUUUCAUUGACAAAAAAUAGAGUAAGACAGAAAAGAUAUGAUCUCCAGAAACAGAGCAGAGAACAGGUGGAGCUAUCCCUAAGACAGACCAUCAGUAUCUAUCUUAGUCACCAAACUGAACCAGAGUUUAGGAUGUGGUGACUCAAAGUGGUGUAAUCAUCAACUUCCCAAGUUCUGCUUGAAGAACUGGAUCUUAGCUGCUCCUGGGUAUACUAGCUAGGAGAUGCUUUCAAAAAGCUGCUGAACAAACAAAAUCAAUUUACAAAAGCAAUACUAUUUUAGACUUGACUUCAGUAAGUAGGAGGAAAUUAUAAAAGGCCUGAUUAUAAAAUAUAACUUUAGCUAAAAUAUUAAACAUUCAUAUUUUCUGGAAAGACUGCCAAAUAUAGGGCAAUAAACAAAAAUGCAAGUCCUAAAUCAUGAGUUUUGGUUAAAAAAAUAAACAUGAUGAAGCUGACUGAACUGAAAAACUCAGAGACCUGAAUGAGGAUUAAUCUUGUUACUUCUUUAAGCCAAAGACAGGGCUGGCUCUCUCUGUUGGGAGAGACAGAUAUACAUGGAAGCACUCCAGAAUUAAUUGACUGAAUAGCCUCUCAAACAAGUCAGUAGGAAUAGUCCUUUCAGAAUACAAAUACUUAUGAGCAUAUAAAGCUGUGGUCCUUAAAGAGCACAAACAAAUUCUUAGGAACAAAUAAAGCCAAGCUUUGUACAUCAGGACGUGGAAAUGUAAAGUAAGAAUAAGCCAAAACUCAUAAUAGCUUUAGAUGUUGCAAUGAAAAUGAAAAAGAAAACAUUUUUUCAGUAGUAUAAUUAGAAAAAAAAAAAAACAAGGAAAGAUGUGGAGCCAGAAAGAGCAAGGACUAAAAAACUUAAAAAUUCAAUUCAUACAUUGACUUAGUUUGCAACUAGAAAAAUGAAAUAAAGUAUGGAUACGAGCAAGGAAACUAAAGAAAAUUAUAGCCUUUGAGGUGUAAACAAAACUAAUAAUGGAGUUCUGCCUCCUAAAUUCUAGAAGUAGUUACAGUGAAUGACAAUUUUGGUAGCCACAGUUUUGGUAUCAAGUUAAAAAUGUUGCAAUUAUGAGUAGAGAAUAGCAAAUAUGAUUUUUCAGGAAGGAAAAAGUAGUGUGCUGGGACAAAAACCAAAAAACCACCAACAACCAAAACCAAGCAAAAAACAGAACCCAACUGAUUGAAUUCCACUGAGUGUGAGCUGCUAUUUUGAUACACUGUCAGAUGGGAAAUAUAACUCAGCUUAAUAUAACUCAGAAAGGUAGACAAUAGAAAUGGGAUCAAACAUUAAACCAGGCUUUCACAUGAGAAGGUAAAGCAGAUCAUGUUCAAAAGGAAAUUACUGGGCUGAAGUACCUUGUUAGGAUUUAUAAAGAAAUCAGACUUGGUUUCAUCUAAUUAAAUAUUUUCCUCU
Molecule: long non-coding RNA, 1795 nt
Organism: Zonotrichia leucophrys gambelii
Lineage: Eukaryota; Metazoa; Chordata; Aves; Passeriformes; Passerellidae
Exons: 2
Source: RefSeq, a predicted model, not a curated record